Molecule: long non-coding RNA, 3623 nt
Organism: Erinaceus europaeus (western European hedgehog)
Lineage: Eukaryota; Metazoa; Chordata; Mammalia; Eulipotyphla; Erinaceidae
Exons: 2
Source: RefSeq, a predicted model, not a curated record
CAAUUCCUACUUAUUCACAUAGUCAUCUCUCACUUAAUACAAAGUCUUGCCGAGCAGAUCACUUCCCAUCGACUUCUGCGUCCCUGUGGGACACGGGCUCCGUACAGGUGGAGAAGCUUCAGGUUCAGAAAGUCGGCCGGCUGAGAGUCCUAAAGCCGCCGCAUCUGCCUUCGGAGCUCCCUGGGCCCGCAGUCUGCACACGCUCUCCUCCUCUGUCACUCCUCCUGACUUGACGUCCCGUGCGGUUUCCGUCGUGCUGUGGCAUAGACCGGGUGGUGUCAUCUAUUUGUUAUGAGUGGCUCAGGGACUCAAGUACAGGCCUUAGUCUUGUGCUCUCCCUACCGUCUACACCAGCUGUCGGGCUCUUCCUUGCCUCAGCGAGACUGUGGGUGAGAAAGGAGCAAAGAUUUCCUUCUUAGAACAGCUGGAAAGUAAGUGGUUUUCAAAAAACACUUUCUCACUUAGCAUAGUUCAUGAUGAUCAGCUUAAAUGUAUUCUGGCAUUGCUGAAAGAAGCCAGCUAGAAAAGAAGGUGCCGGGAGGUGGUGGACUAGACGUGUGGAUCCGUUGUGUUACGGUGAGUCUUCCAACAAUCAGAAUCUGAUCCACAGUCAAGAGGCUGCAUUCAGCCACUAAGCGACUUAUUAGUUCUCUUUAGUCAGCUAGCUGCGUGGUCGUUCAGUAAAUGUUGAAGGUUUGCCAAGCACUGGGCUCCAUGCCAGACACUGGAAGGCGUUCUAAACUAAUAAAUGACUAUCACUGGUCAUAAUGAUGACUAUAACUACCAGGUUCUUACUUCUGAGACCGAAGAGGACAGUUUAGUUAUUUAAAAAAGCAUUAGGAAGACACUACCCUCAGAUGUUAGGAACAGGGGUGCCCCUCGAGUUCCACACAGCCCUGGUCAAGAUGCUUGAAAUGUCCCCGUAGUCUAGCGAGUGCAUAAAGCUCUUAGUAGGCCGGCCAGCUUUGGGGGUUGUCAAAACACCCUCAGAAACAGAAGCACGCCCCCUCGAGUAGGAAGGAGCUGUGUGCGAUGUUCGCUUGCAGUAGACCAAGUGAGCAGUAGGAGUCCAAGUCAAAGAUUCUCACGGUCUGGCCCCCGCCUUUCUCCAGGGAAAGAAAAGGCACUGAAGAAGUCUGAAGUAGCAUUCAGAAGACCAAGCACACAAACCCGGUGGCAACGCCUUUCCCUUGAUAGCUCAGCCGAAGACGAGUUUAAGUCGACAUUCACUAGUCAGUGUAAGCCAAAUGGUGGGAAAUCGAGGCAGCAGAUAAAAAGGCUCUCUACAGAGCUGUGCUCUCUCUUCUGUCCCGCCCUCUCGUUUCUGUCUGGGGCAGUACCAGACAUGGGCAUGUGGGCACAAAUACCAGGUCACAGAAGUCUUGCUUCACUUCCAAAAAUGCCUGCCGUCCUGUGCUGUUUCUAGAAGUGAUCUCUGAAAAGUUCUUCACACUUUUUCUUCCACUAGAGAGCUGGCAGUCUUCCUUUCACUUCUGAGGCAGGUGUACAUUGACUCCUGACCGUGGAAGGAGGCCCACAAAGUACCACGGAAACACUACGCUAAAGAAAGGAGGAAGGAACCAAUUUGCUGGUCUUCGGAAACAGCAGCUGUUUCCGCCGCUGCGGGGUUUAUAGAUGAGGCCCUUGACUCCCCCGGUCUCCACAUGACCCAUCAGGACUUCGUAAUAUCUCUAGCACUCACCUUAAUUGUAUUUUGUUCUUCGGGAUAUGUCACUAUUGGGCAAGAAGGAUUCAGAACUGAGAGCGAGAGCAGAGCCAGUCAAAUUUACUUUAGAUGAGCUACCAGAGCUGUUUCCCAAGACCUUCGACAAGAGUAUAGUUAGGUGAUCCUGUCAUUGUCUAGAGAAGGGAACACCCACAAAUAAAAGUCGUUUUUUCAACUCGGAGUCAGUUUGUAACAAGACUCAGAAUAGUAGGCAGUGCCCUUUUUCUCUCUGUUCAUCGUUAACUCCUCUUUUCUCUCACAGCUGAGUGGUAUUUGGGGGGGGGGGGGGGAGGAUGUCUUCCUUAUAGCAGUAAUCCCAAGGAAUGUUAUUAGAUGUUACCAGAGAAAAGUAUGUGUGGGGGAGGGGACUCCACAGUCAAUUAAAAUUGAGGAAUGUUGAGCUUGUUUUCUGUAGACCUUGGAAGAAUUUCCAGUGUGCUACUCUAAGUUGUGAUUUUAUUUUAUUUAUUUUUCUUAACCAGAGCACUGUUCAGCUCUGACUUUUGGUGGUACAGGGAAUUGAACCUGGGAUUGUGGAGCCUCGGGUAUGAGAUUGUGUUGUGAAUUUGUAAGAGGAAACAAAGACUGUGUCUUCCUCAUUGCCCUUAAAUGGCCCCUUGCAUCCUGCUUCCUCAAAUAAGUUUUCAGUUACUUUAGAAGACACACACACACACACACACACACACACACACACCCAUGGAAGUUCUGGCUCUGUGGCUGUGGCUGUGGCUGUGGCUGCGGCUGCGAUCAAACCAAGGUAGAUCUCCAAGUUCAGGGAGAAGUCAGGAGACGCACUCGCUGCCGUUCAGAGCUAUAUGCCGAUACGCCGGAUGUAGAGAUUCCGUCCCGCCUGUGGCGUGCAGAGGUCGGCAUUUGUGCUUGGUUUUCAGAUGCUGUGCAGAAGGCGCGACACGUCUACACCACGUGCUCACGAUGCCUGCUGUGGCACUUUGUAGUUUGCGGGCUCUGGUCACAACGGCCCUGUGACUCAGGCACGUGUUAAGCACUAGUGGCUGGAGCACUGCAAACUCAGGUUUUGAUGUGCCGUUGAAGUUCUGUGUCAGAGGAUGAUGAAGCCAGAAUUCAGCUCUGGCUACAGGUCCACACCUUCUUCCUUUCUUUCUUUCUUUCUUUCUUUCUUUCUUUUAUUUUUUGUGUGACUUUUUAUUUUACAGUGAAUGGUGUGGUACAUGGUUUAAAGUAACAACAUUCUUAGUUUACUGUCAAACAUUCUUUUUUUUUUUUUUUUUUUUUACUGCAAUGACCCAGGAAAUGACAGCUCUUGAUAAUGACUGUCCCAGAGAAAGCCGGACCUGCACUUUGCAGUGCUGCGUCUUUAGGCAACCAAAGUGGAAUUCAGAUACCGUUUGAUUUUAAAACCAUGCCUGGGUGUGCAACUGUAACUGCUUCUGUAACUUUCUGAAAAUGUCUCCUCAUCCCUGUGUUCUUCGGUAUGAUGGUUUGAUCACUGUCCCGCCCUCUCGUUUCUGGGGCAGUACCAGACAUGGGCAUGUGGGCACAAAUACCAGGUCACUUGCUUCACUUCCAAAAAUGCCUGCCGUCCUGUGCUGUUUCUAGAAGUGACUCUGAAAAGUUCUUAACACUUUUUCUUCCACUAGAGAGCUGGCAGUCUUCCUUUCACUUCUGAGGCAGGUGUACAUUGACUCCUGACCGUGGAAGGAGGCCCACAAAGUACCACGGAAACACUACACUAAAAAAAAAAAAAAAAGGAAGAAGGAACCAACUUGCUAGUUUAUCCAGUACAGUAAUAAUGCAGUCCUUUAUUCCCACAAAUGCUGUUUCUUAGCUUUAACUUGCUUCAAUAACCUCCUGAUGUAACUCCCUUGUAAAUGUAAAAGUUUUAUAUUUUGAAAUAAAGCGAAUGGUGUUGAAUGCA